AUUGAACGCUGGCGGCAGGCCUAACACAUGCAAGUCGAACGGUAACAGGAAGAAGCUUGCUUCUUUGCUGACGAGUGGCGGACGGGUGAGUAAUGUCUGGGAAACUGCCUGAUGGAGGGGGAUAACUACUGGAAACGGUAGCUAAUACCGCAUAACGUCGCAAGACCAAAGAGGGGGACCUUCGGGCCUCUUGCCAUCGGAUGUGCCCAGAUGGGAUUAGCUAGUAGGUGGGUAACGGCUCACCUAGGCGACGAUCCCUAGCUGGUCUGAGAGGAUGACCAGCCACACUGGAACUGAGACACGGUCCAGACUCCUACGGGAGGCAGCAGUGGGGAAUAUUGCACAAUGGGCGCAAGCCUGAUGCAGCCAUGCCGCGUGUAUGAAGAAGGCCUUCGGGUUGUAAAGUACUUUCAGCGGGGAGGAAGGGAGUAAAGUUAAUACCUUUGCUCAUUGACGUUACCCGCAGAAGAAGCACCGGCUAACUCCGUG
This 489-nucleotide ribosomal RNA is filed under the name uncultured bacterium. RNAcentral's name for it is "partial 16S ribosomal RNA". It matches the Rfam family "Bacterial small subunit ribosomal RNA", at positions 30 to 507 of the family's 1533-position model. The record is from RNAcentral.